GUUAAGCGACUAAGCGUACACGGUGGAUGCCCUGGCAGUCAGAGGCGAUGAAGGACGUGCUAAUCUGCGAUAAGCGUCGGUGAGGUGAUAUGAACCGUUAUAACCGGCGAUUUCCGAAUGGGGAAACCCAGUGUGUUUCGACACACUAUCAUUAACUGAAUCCAUAGGUUAAUGAGGCGAACCGGGGGAACUGAAACAUCUAAGUACCCCGAGGAAAAGAAAUCAACCGAGAUUCCCCCAGUAGCGGCGAGCGAACGGGGAGGAGCCCAGAGCCUGAAUCAGUGUGUGUGUUAGUGGAAGCGUCUGGAAAGGCGCGCGAUACAGGGUGACAGCCCCGUACACAAAAAUGCACAUGCUGUGAGCUCGAUGAGUAGGGCGGGACACGUGGUAUCCUGUCUGAAUAUGGGGGGACCAUCCUCCAAGGCUAAAUACUCCUGACUGACCGAUAGUGAACCAGUACCGUGAGGGAAAGGCGAAAAGAACCCCGGCGAGGGGAGUGAAAAAGAACCUGAAACCGUGUACGUACAAGCAGUGGGAGCCUCUUAAUGGGGUGACUGCGUACCUUUUGUAUAAUGGGUCAGCGACUUAUAUUCUGUAGCAAGGUUAACCGAAUAGGGGAGCCGAAGGGAAACCGAGUCUUAACUGGGCGUUAAGUUGCAGGGUAUAGACCCGAAACCCGGUGAUCUAGCCAUGGGCAGGUUGAAGGUUGGGUAACACUAACUGGAGGACCGAACCGACUAAUGUUGAAAAAUUAGCGGAUGACUUGUGGCUGGGGGUGAAAGGCCAAUCAAACCGGGAGAUAGCUGGUUCUCCCCGAAAGCUAUUUAGGUAGCGCCUCGUGAAUUCAUCUCCGGGGGUAGAGCACUGUUUCGGCAAGGGGGUCAUCCCGACUUACCAACCCGAUGCAAACUGCGAAUACCGGAGAAUGUUAUCACGGGAGACACACGGCGGGUGCUAACGUCCGUCGUGAAGAGGGAAACAACCCAGACCGCCAGCUAAGGUCCCAAAGUCAUGGUUAAGUGGGAAACGAUGUGGGAAGGCCCAGACAGCCAGGAUGUUGGCUUAGAAGCAGCCAUCAUUUAAAGAAAGCGUAAUAGCUCACUGGUCGAGUCGGCCUGCGCGGAAGAUGUAACGGGGCUAAACCAUGCACCGAAGCUGCGGCAGCGACACUAUGUGUUGUUGGGUAGGGGAGCGUUCUGUAAGCCUGUGAAGGUGUGCUGUGAGGCAUGCUGGAGGUAUCAGAAGUGCGAAUGCUGACAUAAGUAACGAUAAAGCGGGUGAAAAGCCCGCUCGCCGGAAGACCAAGGGUUCCUGUCCAACGUUAAUCGGGGCAGGGUGAGUCGACCCCUAAGGCGAGGCCGAAAGGCGUAGUCGAUGGGAAACAGGUUAAUAUUCCUGUACUUGGUGUUACUGCGAAGGGGGGACGGAGAAGGCUAUGUUGGCCGGGCGACGGUUGUCCCGGUUUAAGCGUGUAGGCUGGUUUUCCAGGCAAAUCCGGAAAACCAAGGCUGAGGCGUGAUGACGAGGCACUACGGUGCUGAAGCGACAAAUGCCCUGCUUCCAGGAAAAGCCUCUAAGCAUCAGGUAACAUCAAAUCGUACCCCAAACCGACACAGGUGGUCAGGUAGAGAAUACCAAGGCGCUUGAGAGAACUCGGGUGAAGGAACUAGGCAAAAUGGUG
RNAcentral lists this ribosomal RNA (1681 nucleotides) under Escherichia coli. RNAcentral describes it as "partial 23S ribosomal RNA". It matches the Rfam family "Bacterial large subunit ribosomal RNA", at positions 1 to 1727 of the family's 2925-position model. The record is from RNAcentral. Lineage: Bacteria; Pseudomonadati; Pseudomonadota; Gammaproteobacteria; Enterobacterales; Enterobacteriaceae.